Mya arenaria is the source of this 202-nucleotide long non-coding RNA. RefSeq lists it as uncharacterized. The record is from RefSeq and is a predicted model, not a curated record. The transcript is spliced from 3 exons. Lineage: Eukaryota; Metazoa; Mollusca; Bivalvia; Myida; Myidae.
ACCUGUUACUCCUGCUCAAAUCAUACCACAAAGGAUUCCUGCACGGACAUACAACACUGCCCGGCUGGACAGGUUUGCCAACUUGUCCCCAAAAUCUCCAUUGCAACCCAUACAUAUCACUUCGAGUCGUCCUGUGCCGUGCAUGCGGACUGUGAAGCUAAAGUUGCCGCCUUAACGCAGGGAAUACUGGGUAGAAAAAGAG